GUGGGGAAUUUUGCGCAAUGGGCGAAAGCCUGACGCAGCAACGCCGCGUGGGUGAUGAAGGCCUUCGGGUCGUAAAGCCCUGUCGGAUGGGACGAACCUCCAGGGGGCGAACAGCCGCUUGGAAUGACGGUACCAUCUAAGGAAGCACCGGCCAACUCCGUGCCAGCAGCCGCGGUAAUACGGAGGGUGCAAGCGUUGUUCGGAAUCACUGGGCGUAAAGGGCGUGUAGGCGGCCGAGCAAGUCGGGCGUGAAAGCCCUCGGCUCAACCGAGGAAGUGCGCCCGAAACUACACGGCUUGAGUACCGGAGAGGGAGGUGGAAUUCCCGGUGUAGAGGUGAAAUUCGUAGAUAUCGGGAGGAACACCGGUGGCGAAGGCGGCCUCCUGGACGGAUACUGACGCUGAGACGCGAAAGCGUGGGUAGCAAACAGGAUUAGAAACCCCAGUAGUCC
RNAcentral lists this ribosomal RNA (451 nucleotides) under uncultured bacterium. RNAcentral describes it as "bacterial SSU rRNA". It matches the Rfam family "Bacterial small subunit ribosomal RNA", at positions 354 to 796 of the family's 1533-position model. The record is from RNAcentral.